GUCCUAGCUGUAAACGGUGCACGUUUGCUGUAAGAGGAAUCGACCCCUUUUGUGGCGAAGCUAACGCGUUAAACGUGCCGCCUGGGGAGUACGGUCGCAAGAUUAAAACUCAAAGAAAUUGACGGGGCCUGCACAAGCGGUGGAGUAUGUGGCUUAAUUCGAUGCAACGCGAAGAACCUUACCUGGCCUUGACAUGUAGGUAGUAGAAGCCUGAAAGGGUGACGAGGUAGCAAUACCAGCUUACACAGGUGCUGCAUGGCUGUCGU
RNAcentral lists this ribosomal RNA (266 nucleotides) under uncultured bacterium. RNAcentral describes it as "partial 16S ribosomal RNA". It matches the Rfam family "Bacterial small subunit ribosomal RNA", at positions 793 to 1055 of the family's 1533-position model. The record is from RNAcentral.